This is a long non-coding RNA of Chenopodium quinoa (quinoa), 1065 nucleotides long. RefSeq lists it as uncharacterized. The transcript has 2 exons. The record is from RefSeq and is a predicted model, not a curated record. NCBI's taxonomy places the organism in Eukaryota, Viridiplantae, Streptophyta, Magnoliopsida, Caryophyllales, Amaranthaceae.
UGUGGACCCACGUGGGUGUCGUGGAUGGAAAGACGAGCCCAUCAUCCUUCCUAAAUCCUUCCAACCUAGUCAUUUUCGGUUUCCCUCUCCCUUGUUUAACCCCUCCAUGGUCCCACUCUUCGAACCGAUGCACCCUCAGAUCUCCGUCUUACAUGCCCAAAAAUAAACAAUAAUAAAUUUGAAAAAAUAAUAGGUAAAGGACCAAUUUUUAAGAAUGCAGUUAAACAAAUUUUUAAGAAUGCAGUUAAACAAUAAAUUUGAUACUUAAAUUUUGGUUAUAGGUAUGAAUGCAAAGCAAAAAAAAAAAAAAAAAUUGGCAUUUCUAUUUGCAGGAUUGUUGGUGAAUUGAACAAGGGUUGGGAAGUGACCUUUUUAUUUAUUUUCUGGUUAGAUUGGGGGUCUAUAAGGAGUCACAAAUUCAUAAAGGGUGGUGAAUUGACGCAGACAGGAUUUGACCCUAAGUUUUAGGUUCACCCCAAGACUUAACCAAUUAAUAUAGAGUGACAGUUUGUAUUGAUCGGGCCAUAUUUCUUUAUUAGAAUCUCAUUCUGACUUCUGCCCUUCACACUUAAGCUGUUUAAAUUGUAUAUUUUAAAUGACAUUACUAUUUUUAAUGAUCUUAUACUUGUUUUAAAUGCAUAGAUGCUUAUUAAUUUAAUCUGCUUGCAGCAAGAUGUUGAAGGCAAAACGUAUUACACAUUUGAGUUCACUGCCCAAGCGCCAAAUUAUACCCGCCAUGCUCUAAGUGUAAUCUGCAUUAACAAGGGUAAGUUCUACACCUUGACAACAGGAGCAAAUGAAAGGAGAUGGGACAAAAUGAAAGACAGAUUAUACACCGUCGUUGAUUCUUUCAGAGUCUUCAACGCUUGAUUUUAUGGUAAACUAGACAUCUCAUAUUGACACCCUAUACUGUUUCUGCGUGAGUUGCACAAAUUUUAACUUUAUUCGAAGUUAAUUGCUCCAAAAACUUGAAUGUUGGAGAAUACUCAUUUUAUGUAUAUUAGACCCGAUUUUUUCAAAAUGAACGUGUAAAAGUCUUCUGAUUAAUGAAAUUUUAUCCCACUA